Molecule: RNase P RNA, 352 nt
Filed under: Candidatus Zixiibacteriota bacterium
Lineage: Bacteria; Pseudomonadati; Candidatus Zixiibacteriota
Description: RNase P RNA component class A
Rfam family: Bacterial RNase P class A
About the family: Ribonuclease P (RNase P) is a ubiquitous endoribonuclease, found in archaea, bacteria and eukarya as well as chloroplasts and mitochondria. Its best characterised activity is the generation of mature 5'-ends of tRNAs by cleaving the 5'-leader elements of precursor-tRNAs.
Source: RNAcentral
CGAGCCAGGCGGUCGCCUCGGCUUUAAGCCGUGGAGGAAAGUCCGGGCUACAGAGGGCAGGGCGCCUCGUAACGCGAGGCCGGGGAAACCCGGGGAAAGUGCCACAGAAACCAGACCGCUCGCUGUAAAGCGAGUAAGGGUGAAACGGUGGUGUAAGAGACCACCCGCUCCGGUGGCAACACCGGUUUGGGUAAACCCCGCCCGUAGCAAGGCCAAGUACAGGAGGAGGAGUUGCCCGCUCCUUUAGACUCCAGGGUAGGCUGCAUGAGGAUGACGGCGACGUCAUUCCCAGAUAGAUGACCGCUUACUUCACUUGUUUGAAGGAUACAGAACCCGGCUUAUGGCUCGCUUA